UACAGAGGGGGCAAGCGUUAUUCGGAAUUAUUGGGCGUAAAGCGCACGUAGGCGGCUUCUUAAGUCAGGGGUGAAAUCCUGGAGCUCAACUCCAGAACUGCCUUUGAUACUGGGAAGCUUGAGUCCGGGAGAGGUGAGUGGAACUGCGAGUGUAGAGGUGAAAUUCGUAGAUAUUCGCAAGAACACCAGUGGCGAAGGCGGCUCACUGGCCCGGUACUGACGCUGAGGUGCGAAAGCGUGGGGAGCAAACAGG
Molecule: ribosomal RNA, 253 nt
Filed under: uncultured bacterium
Lineage: Bacteria
Description: partial 16S ribosomal RNA
Rfam family: Bacterial small subunit ribosomal RNA
Source: RNAcentral